Molecule: ribosomal RNA, 460 nt
Filed under: uncultured bacterium
Lineage: Bacteria
Description: partial 16S ribosomal RNA
Rfam family: Bacterial small subunit ribosomal RNA
Source: RNAcentral
CCUACGGGUGGCAGCAGUGAGGAAUAUUGGUCAAUGGGCGCGAGCCUGAACCAGCCAAGUAGCGUGAAGGAUGACUGCCCUACGGGUUGUAAACUUCUUUUAUAAAGGAAUAAAGUGAGGCACGUGUGCCUUUUUUUAUGUACUUUAUGAAUAAGGAUCGGCUCACUCCGUGCCAGCAGCCGCGGUAAUACGGAGGAUCCGAGCGUUAUCCGGAUUUAUUGGGUUUAAGGGGAGCGUAGAUGGGUUGUUAAGUCAGUUGUGAAAGCUUGCGGCUCAACCGUAAAAUUGCAAUUGAUACUGGCAGCCUUGAGUACAGUAGAGGUAGGCGGAAUUCGUGGUGUAGCGGUGAAAUGCUUAGAUAUCACGAAGAACUCCGAUUGCGAAGGCAGCUUACUAAACGGCCACUGACAUUGAUGUUCGAAAGUGUGGGUAGCAAACAGGAUUAGAUACCCCUGUAGUC